CCACUUCUAAUAGUGUACAUAUUGAAUUUUCCCAUGAGAAUAUACAAAUCUUUACUAUAUGAUAUUUGGUUAAAAUGUCACCUCAUACCUCUAAAGUUCCGAUCAUAUAAGUUAAAUGAACAACUUUUUGAAAGCCAUUUUACAAUAUUGGUAAUUCAUUCACCGAUUUUCAGAAAAAAUCAAACACUAUUUUCAUGUUUACGAUUUUAAGUAUCAAUUUGUCUAUUCACUCAAAAUAUUACUUCCAUAAUACCAUUGAAGCACUAAAAUGAAGUUAACUUCUCCAGGAAACAAGUAACAUACAUAAAACUAAAUUUUUAUAACAAGUACAAAAUGCAACUUUAUUCAUGUAGAUAAUAAUAUCUAUCGAUAAUCAAAUAACUUUAGAAAUUUCAAAUGACAUAGUUCAACCGAGAAUACUGAAAUUAUUAGACUGAACAUUUUUCGUAGUUGUUCAGNNN
Molecule: long non-coding RNA, 461 nt
Filed under: Trifolium pratense (red clover)
Lineage: Eukaryota; Viridiplantae; Streptophyta; Magnoliopsida; Fabales; Fabaceae
Description: long non-coding RNA (TPRA_LNC002897)
Source: RNAcentral